Molecule: ribosomal RNA, 1442 nt
Filed under: uncultured organism
Description: SSU rRNA
Rfam family: Bacterial small subunit ribosomal RNA
Source: RNAcentral
UGCUACAGGCUUAACACAUGCAAGUCGAGGGGCAGCAUGGUCUUAGCUUGCUAAGGCCGAUGGCGACCGGCGCACGGGUGAGUAACACGUAUCCAACCUGCCGUCUACUCUUGGACAGCCUUCUGAAAGGAAGAUUAAUACAAGAUGGCAUCAUGAGUCCGCAUGUUCACAUGAUUAAAGGUAUUCCGGUAGACGAUGGGGAUGCGUUCCAUUAGAUAGUAGGCGGGGUAACGGCCCACCUAGUCUUCGAUGGAUAGGGGUUCUGAGAGGAAGGUCCCCCACAUUGGAACUGAGACACGGUCCAAACUCCUACGGGAGGCAGCAGUGAGGAAUAUUGGUCAAUGGGCGAGAGCCUGAACCAGCCAAGUAGCGUGAAGGAUGACUGCCCUAUGGGUUGUAAACUUCUUUUAUAAAGGAAUAAAGUCGGGUAUGGAUACCCGUUUGCAUGUACUUUAUGAAUAAGGAUCGGCUAACUCCGUGCCAGCAGCCGCGGUAAUACGGAGGAUCCGAGCGUUAUCCGGAUUUAUUGGGUUUAAAGGGAGCGUAGAUGGAUGUUUAAGUCAGUUGUGAAAGUUUGCGGCUCAACCGUAAAAUUGCAGUUGAUACUGGAUAUCUUGAGUGCAGUUGAGGCAGGCGGAAUUCGUGGUGUAGCGGUGAAAUGCUUAGAUAUCACGAAGAACUCCGAUUGCGAAGGCAGCCUGCUAAGCUGCAACUGACAUUGAGGCUCGAAAGUGUGGGUAUCAAACAGGAUUAGAUACCCUGGUAGUCCACACGGUAAACGAUGAAUACUCGCUGUUUGCGAUAUACUGCAAGCGGCCAAGCGAAAGCGUUAAGUAUUCCACCUGGGGAGUACGCCGGCAACGGUGAAACUCAAAGGAAUUGACGGGGGCCCGCACAAGCGGAGGAACAUGUGGUUUAAUUCGAUGAUACGCGAGGAACCUUACCCGGGCUUAAAUUGCAGAUGAAUUACGGUGAAAGCCGUAAGCCGCAAGGCAUCUGUGAAGGUGCUGCAUGGUUGUCGUCAGCUCGUGCCGUGAGGUGUCGGCUUAAGUGCCAUAACGAGCGCAACCCUUGUUGUCAGUUACUAACAGGUUCCGCUGAGGACUCUGACAAGACUGCCAUCGUAAGAUGUGAGGAAGGUGGGGAUGACGUCAAAUCAGCACGGCCCUUACGUCCGGGGCUACACACGUGUUACAAUGGGGGGUACAGAGGGCCGCUACCACGCGAGUGGAUGCCAAUCCCCAAAACCUCUCUCAGUUCGGACUGGAGUCUGCAACCCGACUCCACGAAGCUGGAUUCGCUAGUAAUCGCGCAUCAGCCACGGCGCGGUGAAUACGUUCCCGGGCCUUGUACACACCGCCCGUCAAGCCAUGGGAGCCGGGGGUACCUGAAGUGCGUAACCGCGAGGAGCGCCCUAGGGUAAAACUGGUGACUGGGGCUAA